RNAcentral lists this ribosomal RNA (497 nucleotides) under uncultured bacterium. RNAcentral describes it as "partial 16S ribosomal RNA". It matches the Rfam family "Bacterial small subunit ribosomal RNA", at positions 28 to 507 of the family's 1533-position model. The record is from RNAcentral.
GAUGAUCGCUGGCGGCGUGCCUAAUACAUGCAAGUCGAGCGAACAGACGAGGAGCUUGCUCCUCUUACGUUAGCGGCUGACGGGUGAGUAACACGUGGAUAACCUACCUAUAAGACUUGUAUAACUUCGUGAAGCCGGAGCUAAUACCGGAUAAUAUAUUUAUCCGCAUGGUUCAAUAGUGACAUACGGUUUUGCUGUCACUUAUAGAUGGAUCCGCGCCGCAUUAGCUAGUUGGUAAGGUAACGGCUUACCAAGGCAACGAUGCGUAGCCGACCUGCGAGGGUCAUCGGCUACACUGGAACAGAGAGACGGACCAGCUUCCCAAGGGAGGCAGCAGUAGGGAAUCUUCAGCCAUGGGAGAAAGCCGGACGGAGCAACGCCGCGUGAGUGCUGAAGGUCUUCGGAUCGUAAAACUCUGUUAUUAGGGCAGAACAAAUGUGUAAGUAACUAUGCCCGACUUGACGGUACCUACUCAGAAAGCAACGGCUCACUACGCG